GCCCGCCUAGCUCAAUCGGAUAGAGCGUCAGACUCUUAUAACUGGUUGUAUUGGUUAUCUGAAGGCUGCGAGUUCGACCCUCGCGGUGGGCU
Molecule: transfer RNA, 92 nt
Organism: Trametes pubescens
Lineage: Eukaryota; Fungi; Basidiomycota; Agaricomycetes; Polyporales; Polyporaceae
Rfam family: tRNA
About the family: Transfer RNA (tRNA) molecules are approximately 80 nucleotides in length. Their secondary structure includes four short double-helical elements and three loops (D, anti-codon, and T loops). Further hydrogen bonds mediate the characteristic L-shaped molecular structure. tRNAs have two regions of fundamental functional importance: the anti-codon, which is responsible for specific mRNA codon recognition, and the 3' end, to which the tRNAs corresponding amino acid is attached (by aminoacyl-tRNA synthetases). tRNAs cope with the degeneracy of the genetic code in two manners: having more than one tRNA (with a specific anti-codon) for a particular amino acid; and 'wobble' base-pairing, i.e. permitting non-standard base-pairing at the 3rd anti-codon position.
Source: Rfam